UAUGUACUCCCUCCGUCCAGAAUUACUUAUCAUAGGAAUAGAUGAUUCUAGACAUAUUUUAGUUCUAGAUACAUUCUUUUUUUUUUCAUUUUGGUGACAAGUAAUCCGGACGGAGGAAGUAUUUA
Molecule: non-coding RNA, 125 nt
Organism: Hordeum vulgare subsp. vulgare (domesticated barley)
Lineage: Eukaryota; Viridiplantae; Streptophyta; Magnoliopsida; Poales; Poaceae
Source: Rfam